RNAcentral lists this long non-coding RNA (3574 nucleotides) under Panax ginseng (ginseng). RNAcentral's name for it is "long non-coding RNA (PGIN_LNC016320)". The record is from RNAcentral. Lineage: Eukaryota; Viridiplantae; Streptophyta; Magnoliopsida; Apiales; Araliaceae.
UAAAUAGCAGCAUGAGUUGUCAUUAAUUGGGGGAAAAUCAACUGAGUCAGUUUCGGCAAGUAGCAGCUGUCUCUCUUAAGUUUACAUAGGCCAGUAUACUUGGAUGAGCUAUACGUAAGAAGCCUUGCGUGUUUAAGCAUUAGAUCAGACCUCAGCUUCCUUGAUUUUUUCUUUCUCUCCUCCGUCCAAAAUUAACUGUAUGCUAGCUCUCAUUCACAACAAGAUAUUACGUGAGAACCCAUCAAGUUGGUAAAGAUUGAAUCAUUAAGCAACGUUGAAGAAGAAUAAGGGCAAAGUUUUAGCAAAGGAAGAAAUUAAAUUAUCAAGGGCUGAAGAACAGAGUUCAACUUAAGGUAAUUUAUAUUUUAUAUUAUGAGCAGAAAGUGGGUUAGCAUGUCAUUAGUUAGUAAGUUAACUGAGUUUUUGUAACUACUUGCAUAAAACAGAGUUACAUUGCAUGUCAAGUAUGCUCAGGUUUCCAUGUUAUCGAGUUAUGUGAUAAUCAAAAGAAUUACUUGAAUAGUCAUGUAUUGUUAAUAUUUUGGACUACUAUUGUUUGAUAUAUAGCUAGAGGAGUUUAGCUUGGGCUGAGGAGACAUAAGGAUGGUGAUAUGGAUUUAAGAUGUAAAUCAAUGGAUGAGGAAUUUGUAACUUUAAACUGUACCCCCCACCUGUUUGCUAAAAGUUCUAAAAGAACUUUUUGGUUAAAAAUGGAAUAUUAGAACUGAGUAAAGCAUGGACCUGGUUUAGUUAACACAUUUGAUAACAGUUAGAAAGUUUGAGCUUGCUAGCUUAUAAUGAAAAAUCAAUUUCUAGCCAAAACGAAAGAUUAAACUUCAAUGUGUUAAGCUAUUUUUACUCACUGUUUUGGGGAACUUAUUGAAACUAAAAUAGAGGUUUUAUAAUUUCUAAAAAUAUUUCCAUAUGCUAUAUGCAAUAUAUCUCAUAGUGGAUGUAAUUGAUCAUAGGGGCUAGAAUUAAGAAAUUAGGAAAAUAGCUAUGUUGAGCACAGGGUGGCUGCUGCCUCGGCAGCAGCAGCAGGCCUAUUGGGCCAUGGCUGGAGUUCUUUUUGGGGCUAAUAAUCAUUGUGUUUGUGUAGCUAAAUAUCACUUGGUUGUUGGUGCAUUAUCUAAUGAAUGCAUCAUCUUUGUUUUGCUAAAAAAGGAUCAUUAUAAAUCAAAAUUAUAGCUUAAGAGGAGGAGCACAACUGCUGUACAUUGGCAGCAGCAAGCGUGUCACAGCAGCAGUUGCCUCGGCUGAGCUGGAGGCAGCAGUUGCCUCGGCUGAGCUGGGGGUUCUCCUUUGAGCUCUCAGCCAGUAUAGUUAGAAUGUUUAAAUGUGUUGUUUUGCAAUUUAUCUAAAUAGAGGAGUAUGCUAUCUAUAUUAUUUCCAACAAGAGUAGCAUGUUAGAAGGCAUGGAUUGAACUUUAGAAAGGAAGGAAUGAGGAGUUAAAAGAACGAAGUUGCUGCCAUUGGCAGUAGCGGUUCUUAUUGCAUAACAGCAAAGGCUGUUUUGGUAAGCAUUGGGGUUGAUGUGAUUUUGUAUUCGUAAUAGUUAUGGAUUGAUAUAUUAUGUGGGUAUAUCAAUUACAAUUAUCAUAAAUCCUUUGCAACUAAAUUAAUACAUUAGGAGUUAAUUUUGUGCAAGAUAAGAAGGGUCAAGGGCUGCUGCCUAUGGGCAGCAGCAGAGAACAGCAGUUGACCAUAAGGGACUGCUUUGUCCUGGUGCUAAGAUAUGAUAGUUGUGAUAAUAUAUGAGUGAGUUAGUAAACUCUAAAACAAAAGCUAUCAUGAAUGGGGCAUCUAAUUUGGAAGUAUUAAACUAAGUUUAAUACUGUUAAAAGCCUUAAAAUGUUGUUUUGGUAUUAUGAAGAAAAACAAGUAUAGUCAAUGCAAUAGUGUAUUGUAAUGGAACUAUAAAGCACGGGAAAGACUAAAAGUUAAUCAUACAAGUUGUAAAUAAUUUCAAAACAUGAAAUUGAUUACAAAGUCACCUUGUAUGCUAGAAGAUAAGAAAAGAGAGUAUGAAUUGCUCAUGAAAUAAGUUCCUCAUCAGAUAGAAAUUAAAUUUAUGAUGUGUUUGUAUGUGAUAAUCAUACUUAAUGAUUGAAAUACCUUAGGUAUUCACCUUGAAUACCUAAGUUAUAAAGAGAAUUGCAAAUUAUACUUAUGGCAAACAAAAGAAGUAAAAGAGAUAUGAACUAAAAUCAUGAAAAGUUCAUGAACAUAAAUUAUGUCAGACCCUAUAAAAGAAAGAAAAGGCUAUUGUAAGAACAUGGAUGAGGUAUUUGAAAAAUGUAUAGAAAUAUUUUAAAUAUAGAAUAUGAACUAAAGACAUGAUCAAUGUGGUUAUGUGAUGUAUAAAUAUGCAAGUUAUAUGACUCGAAUACUUGGCUAAUGUAUUUGUGAAUGGAAAUAUGAUUGUGUAGGAUCUGUGGGAACAAGUUAAGCUGAAUUUUUAUAUUCAUAGUUCACAAACAAGGCAAGUAUUUAAAUCUUACUCUUUAUUGAGCAAGUAUUCGGAGAUUAUUCAUAUGUUGACAGGUUCCUUAAUUUUUGAACUGUCUUUCCUUAUUUAUGAAUAUUAUAAGAUUGAAUAAUCUUUUUAUUCCAAUCAGCUUCAAAAGAUUGGGUAAUGAAUUAUCAUGUGUAUCAAAUGAUAUUCAAUAUACAUGAGUAAAUUGCAGAGAAGUCUGAGCCAUUUCUUCUGGCCAGACAUAGAUGUAAAAUAUUUCAAUUUCUUUAUAUUAAGUCUUGAAAUAUUAUUGUGCCAUGAUUUAAGUUGUCCAGCUAAAUUGUUGUAGUUGGAAUCUAAAACUGAGAAUGAACAUACCCUUGAAUGGGAUAUUUUUAUUGCACUCUGGGAGUGGUGAUGUAGAACAUGAAAAUUGUUCUUGAAAAGAUAGUAUUGAUCAAUACAGGGCAUAAAGGGUUGAUCACCCUACGUGCUCGUAAGAUAAGACGGUUCAUCUGAUAAAAUUUCUGAUUGAACCUUUUCAAGAAAAGAAAAAUAUGUUCAUGGUCUUAAAACCUCUCAGUUAUUCAAUGAUGUUAUGAUAUUUCAGAAAUAUGAAUGAUUCAAGAUUUAUUGCUUUACAGAUUUGAUUCACUGUCAAAGCAUGCUUCAAAGAAACAUUUAUUUCUUGUUGAGUCUUAAAGAAUGCUAUUACUUGCUGAGCAAUUAAAUGCUCAUACUUGUUUUAUUAUAAAUGUUUUUAGCUGAGCAGACUCGAGCGGAAGGAUCUGAAAAAGACAAAGGAAAAGAAAAAGUAACAGAUUAGCUGGGAUUGGUUGUAAUAGAUAGUUUACGUAUUUGUAAAUAUUAAACUAUCAUGUAAUGAAUAUUUAAAGGUCUACGUAUCUGGGAUUAGUAGCACUUUGAUGUAAUAACUUUACUAAGUUUAAGUUUAUUUUAUGUUGAAUGUUUGAUAUCGUGAAGCACUGAAUAAGGGUUUCAAGUACCCGAAUUUGGGGGCGUCACAGCAAAAGUAACAUGAAAAUUUACGUAAUUAAAAGUCACGGAUAUUAAAUAGUUAGACAAACUCAUUAUUAAAAGAAUAUUGUAUACUUAAAC